Small nucleolar RNA from Suncus etruscus (white-toothed pygmy shrew), 104 nucleotides. RefSeq annotates it as small nucleolar RNA U13. The transcript has a single exon. Lineage: Eukaryota; Metazoa; Chordata; Mammalia; Eulipotyphla; Soricidae. The record is from RefSeq and is a predicted model, not a curated record.
AUCCUUUUCCAGUUCAUAAGCAUGAUGAUUGGGUGUUCAGACAUUUGUGUGAUAUGUAUUUCUCUUAGUCCUUGUUUUGGCAUUGGCACAUUACCAGUCUGAAG